UCUUUUCCAGGACAGCAAAAUCCAUGUGCCAUUUACUCAUCAUUGGUUUAGUCUCUUCAAUUAGAUAUCUAGGUAACAAAAUUAUCUCAAUAUUUGCCUUCUUACAUAACAAGCCAAAUAAUUUUCAGCAAAUAUGAACUUCUCCCUAUUUGCUAGGAAUGAAACAUUGGUGUAACUCGUCGAGAAAAUGCUGUACCUAAUUUUACUAGAAACUGUUGUAACUAUGGUUCGCAUACCGGCCCGUACGGAGCAUACCAUACCUACUAGUUCAGUACUAGUACUCCGUAUGAGUAACAUACCGAGUGUCGGUACGCCAAAAAAAGUCCGUACCAUACCAUACCAACAUAGUGCUAGUGUAGCACCAGUACAGGAUUCGGUACCGAGAUGGCAAACCUUGGCUGUAACUCAACAUCAGAACUCCUAACAUGCCUCGGCUUUAUUGGCGUUUCUGAUGAUGCAAAUAAGAAUAGUUAGAAUUAUAUCUGAGGCUGCAAAUGGACUUUUCCAUUCCCAAAAUCAUGAUGCCCCUCUUAUUGAUUUAAAUUUUGAAAUUCAAAUUGAUAUUCCUUGUGUACUU
Molecule: long non-coding RNA, 577 nt
Filed under: Phoenix dactylifera (date palm)
Lineage: Eukaryota; Viridiplantae; Streptophyta; Magnoliopsida; Arecales; Arecaceae
Description: long non-coding RNA (PDAC_LNC019531)
Source: RNAcentral